CGGAUCGGAGUCUGCAACCCGACUCCGUGAAGCUGGAUUCGCUAGUAAUCGCGCAUCAGCCAUGGCGCGGUGAAUACGUUCCCGGGCCUUGUACACACCGCCCGUCAAGCCAUGGAAGCCGGGGGCGCUUGAAGUGCGUUGCCGCAAGGCGCGCCCUAGAGCGAAACCGGUGACUGGGGCUAAGUCGUAACAAGGUAGC
RNAcentral lists this ribosomal RNA (199 nucleotides) under uncultured bacterium. RNAcentral describes it as "partial 16S ribosomal RNA". It matches the Rfam family "Bacterial small subunit ribosomal RNA", at positions 1294 to 1500 of the family's 1533-position model. The record is from RNAcentral.